AGUGAACGCUGGCGGUAGGCCUAACACAUGCAAGUCGAACGGCAGCACAGUAAGAGCUUGCCCUUACGGGUGGCGAGUGGCGGACGGGUGAGGAAUACAUCGGAAUCUACUUUUUCGUGGGGGAUAACGUAGGGAAACUUACGGUAAUACCGCAUACGACCUACGGGUGAAAGCAGGGGAUCUUCGGACCUUGCGCGAUUGAAUGAGCCGAUGUCGGAUUAGCUAGUUGGCGGGGUAAAGGCCCACCAAGGCGACGAUCCGUAGCUGGUCUGAGAGGAUGAGCAGCCACACUGGAACUGAGACACGGUCCAGACGCCUACGGGAGGCAGCAGUGGGGAAUAUUGGACAAGGGGCGCAAGACUGAUCCAGCCAGACCGCGUGGGGGAAGAAGGCCGUCGGGUUGUAAAGCCCUUUUGUUGGGAAAGAAAAGCAGCAGGUUAAUACCCCGCUGUUCUGGCGGUACCCAAAGAAUAAGCACCGGCUAACUGCG
Molecule: ribosomal RNA, 490 nt
Filed under: uncultured bacterium
Lineage: Bacteria
Description: partial 16S ribosomal RNA
Rfam family: Bacterial small subunit ribosomal RNA
Source: RNAcentral